AACAGAAGCGCUAACUUUCAAUUGACGUUUAUUGUGAUAUGAGCCCAAGAAAUUUUGCUCAGAUGCAACGAGCUUUUUCGAACGUAUAGUUUCGCGUGCAUUUCUCUGAAUCUUUACAAUAAGUAUGCGCCAGGCUGCACGACUGUUAUGUUAGUUUUUCAAUCUGCUUUUACAAUUCCAGGCAACAGGGAUGCUAAGCAGCGAAGGCCGACCUAAGCAAGUUCUUCUAAAUGCAGUGAAUGAGGUUCAUUUUCGGAGGAAGAAGACAUGUCUGAGCCUGUAUUUCUUCGCAUUUUCGGCUGCAGUUUCUUCCUUACAACGCAAGCAGGGUACUUAUGAAGAAAGAAAAUUGAAAGAGGAAGAAAUUUGUCAUGCGGAAGGAAACUGAAUCUCCGGCAGCGGUCCUGGCCCCUGUGAGUGGGUGGAGCUUCGUCCUUCCUGGGACGCCCUUGCUUUGAACGUCCUGGCUUCACUGGUGGUACCUUAUCGCUCGCAGAUGCGCCCCAAGCAUCGCCUGGCCUGCCAUCAAUGCGCUGUUCUACCGAUUCUGCCGGCAACCCUUCCGCUGCCCUGCACAUCCACCAGGAGGCAUCGUGGUUCCGUGCCAUACAGCAUUUGUUCCACAACACCCAUGGCCAGCAACAUCAAGCUUCCGCCGGCCUUUAAACCUUCAACUCUGGACAUGCUUCGCCAGUGGGCCAUAGAGAAAGGCAUUCAACAAUAGUGGACACUCUCAUAGAGCCCAGCGGCCGAAUUGACUGUAGCGCACCAAGCGGAUGGGUUUAAGUCCCUCCGGAUUCGGUUUCGGGCGCGCGCCUCUUGAACGCCAGCUGGCACGGGCUGCGCUACUCGGCACGUUUUCUUCUACUGCUCAGUCGCGCGCUGUCUUAUUGCGGAAUCAUUCAUUUAAAAUGAUUGCGAAUGAUCUUUACAAGCCUCCCUCGAAUCUGUGCCACGUGCAAUUUCAUAAAGUAGACGAGAAACGCCUUGUAAAUGAGGAAAUGUUUAUUUCGCUCUAUAUAAAUGCUCGUUCGGGGCUUUUUGUGCAUUCCUCCAACGUUGUGGAACCAGGUAAGCAGCAGUAGUUCGCGUACGA
This is a long non-coding RNA of Dermacentor andersoni, 1096 nucleotides long. RefSeq lists it as uncharacterized. The record is from RefSeq and is a predicted model, not a curated record. NCBI's taxonomy places the organism in Eukaryota, Metazoa, Arthropoda, Arachnida, Ixodida, Ixodidae.